GUGCUCGUUUCCACAGUACAUAUAAUAAAAUUGGAAAGAUACAGAGAUUAGCAUGGCCCCUGUGCGAGGAUGACAAGCAAAUCGUGAAGCGUUCAGUAUUUUU
RNAcentral lists this small nuclear RNA (103 nucleotides) under Microcebus murinus (gray mouse lemur). Lineage: Eukaryota; Metazoa; Chordata; Mammalia; Primates; Cheirogaleidae. The record is from RNAcentral.